This 274-nucleotide ribosomal RNA is filed under the name uncultured bacterium. RNAcentral's name for it is "partial 16S ribosomal RNA". It matches the Rfam family "Bacterial small subunit ribosomal RNA", at positions 523 to 796 of the family's 1533-position model. The record is from RNAcentral.
AUACGGAGGGGACUAGCGUUGUUCGGAAUUACUGGGCGUAAAGCGUACGUAGGCGGACUGAUCAGUUGGGGGUGAAAUCCCAGGGCUUAACCCUGGAACUGCCUUCAAUACUGUCAGUCUUGAGAUUGGAAGAGGUGAGUGGAAUUCCUAGUGUAGAGGUGAAAUUCAUAGAUAUUAGGAGGAACACCAGUGGCGAAGGCGGCUCACUGGUCCAAUACUGACGCUGAGGUACGAAAGCGUGGGGAGCAAACAGGAUUAGAAACCCUAGUAGUCC